AAGUUAAAGUAAAGUUAAAAAAAAAAAAACAAAACAAAAGCAGGAAGCCAGAGAGGCUUCCUGCAUGCUUCUUCUUCUCCCAGUUCCCUUCUCUCGCCCUCUCUCACUCCUCUGUCUCCGCCUCUCUUUCUUCUUUUAUUUCUCGAUGAGUUUUUGGCGGAUCGGAAAAUGGAAGGUGCCGUUGGAUUCGUAACUCCGCCACCGACAUUUCCACUGGAGCAGAUUUGUCGUGGGAAUGACUUAGGCACUGCUCUUAGGGAAAGGGUCUGGGUGAGCGCCGCAGGUAUUUUUCGGAGUCCCUGUUGGCGUAGUUCAAGAAAUCAGGAUUUCUCAGGAUCGAGCUUGAGAGCUCGAGAUUUUAUAACAUUUUUGAAAGAUAUAAGAAAAAUGAUAUAUCUUUAUGUUAAUUUUAAUAUGUAUAUUUUAUGUUUUAUAAUUUAUGUUUUAAGUCAGUUAUGAAAGGAUAGUUGUGAAACAUACUGGUAUUAGUGAAUAAUGGUUUGGAGACAUGCAUAUAUUUGAAUAAUGGUGGAUGAUUAAUUUA
Malania oleifera is the source of this 544-nucleotide long non-coding RNA. RefSeq lists it as uncharacterized. Lineage: Eukaryota; Viridiplantae; Streptophyta; Magnoliopsida; Santalales; Ximeniaceae. The transcript is spliced from 3 exons. The record is from RefSeq and is a predicted model, not a curated record.